RNAcentral lists this non-coding RNA (27 nucleotides) under Rattus norvegicus (Norway rat). Lineage: Eukaryota; Metazoa; Chordata; Mammalia; Rodentia; Muridae. The record is from RNAcentral.
UGCCUCAAAAGUGCAACCUGAUGAGGG